UGGGGAAUCUUGCGCAAUGGGCGAAAGCCUGACGCAGCGACGCCGCGUGAGUGAUGAAGGCCCUCGGGUUGUAAAGCUCUGUGGGGAGGAAAGAAUAAGGUCCGGCUAAUACCCGGACCGAUGACGGUACCUCCUUAGCAAGCACCGGCUAACUCUGUGCCAGCAGCCGCGGUAAGACAGAGGGUGCAAACGUUGUUCGGAAUCACUGGGCGUAAAGCGCGUGUAGGCGGCAGGGUGUGUCGGAUGUGAAAUCCCAUGGCUCAACCAUGGAAGUGCACCCGAAACUACCCAGCUCGAGUCUCGGAGAGGAAGGUGGAAUGCUUGGUGUAGAGGUGAAAUUCGUAGAUAUCAAGCGGAACACCGGUGGCGAAGGCGGCCUUCUGGACGAUGACUGACGCUGAGACGCGAAAGCGUGGGGAGCAAACAGG
RNAcentral lists this ribosomal RNA (428 nucleotides) under uncultured bacterium. Its description in RNAcentral is "bacterial SSU rRNA". It matches the Rfam family "Bacterial small subunit ribosomal RNA", at positions 355 to 776 of the family's 1533-position model. The record is from RNAcentral.